ACUUCCUUGGCUCAGUUGGUAGAGCGUUGGUCUCAUAAUCCAAAGGUUCCCAGUUUGAACCUGUCAGGGAGCA
This 73-nucleotide transfer RNA is filed under the name Sphaerobolus stellatus SS14. RNAcentral describes it as "tRNA-Met (CAT) (tRNA-Met-CAT-7-1)". It matches the Rfam family "tRNA". From Rfam's summary of the family: Transfer RNA (tRNA) molecules are approximately 80 nucleotides in length. Their secondary structure includes four short double-helical elements and three loops (D, anti-codon, and T loops). Lineage: Eukaryota; Fungi; Basidiomycota; Agaricomycetes; Geastrales; Sphaerobolaceae. The record is from RNAcentral.